Molecule: ribosomal RNA, 375 nt
Filed under: uncultured organism
Description: partial 16S ribosomal RNA
Rfam family: Bacterial small subunit ribosomal RNA
Source: RNAcentral
GUAGGUGGCAAGCGUUGUCCGGAAUUAUUGGGGCGUAAAGCGCGCGCAGGCGGUCCUUUAAGGUCUGAUGUGAAAGCCCACGGGCUCAACCGUGGAGGGUCAUUGGAAACUGGGGGACUUGAGUACAGAAGAGGAAAGCGGAAUUCCACGUGUAGCGGUGAAAUGCGUAGAGAUGUGGAGGAACACCAGUGGCGAAGGCGGCUUUCUGGUCUGUAACUGACGCUGAGGCGCGAAAGCGUGGGGAGCAAACAGGAUUAGAUACCCUGGUAGUCCACGCCGUAAACGAUGAGUGCUAAGUGCUAGGGGGUUUCCGCCCCUUAGUGCUGCAGCUAACGCAUUAAGCACUCCGCCUGGGGAGUACGGCCGCAAAGGCUG